Long non-coding RNA from Octopus sinensis (East Asian common octopus), 247 nucleotides. RefSeq lists it as uncharacterized. NCBI's taxonomy places the organism in Eukaryota, Metazoa, Mollusca, Cephalopoda, Octopoda, Octopodidae. The transcript is spliced from 3 exons. The record is from RefSeq and is a predicted model, not a curated record.
CCAUCAAAGAUUAAUGAAAAUGGACGAAAUAUCGGAAGAACAACCAAAAGGCUUAGUUGGCAAAUUUCAAUUUAAAAAAUCUUCUCGAAAGCAAUCUACACGAACGAGAAAAAGAAGUGGUAGUGAAUCGGAAGAGAGUGAAAAGGAAUCCACAACAAUAUGUCUUCAACAUAGAGGUGUUACCAGUAAGAAUCCACUUGUUCAGAGUAUAAAGAAGCUUGGGUAAUAGAAAAUAUAAAUUCAAAUC